AAGAAAAAACCCCCCAGAUUACUCUCUCUCUAUCCCGAUCUCUCACCUUCUCUCUCAGUCUCUCCCUUUGACUCCCAAACCCUCACCGCCGAUCCACCCCUCUCUACCACCAAUCCUCCUCACCAUGGCCGAAGCCGUCACUCUCUCUCACACCAAAUCCAUCCUUCCAGCUUCAACCAGCUCUUUCUUACUUGGAAAAGCCUCUGGAUUCUUCGAUUCUUUCAUGAACUCCAAAAUCUCACCCUCCAAAGCCAAAUCCCCCACUUCACACACCUCCUCACGAACCCAGUCAGCUUGUGAAACCCCAAAAAACCACCAACACAGCUCUUCUUCACCGCCACUUAACUCGAAGACACGAGCUGUGUCUGUACCUGUAUGGUUUUCCUUCUCUUCCUUCUUCUUCUUGAAUCGGUAACAAAGACAACGGAAGGCAAGGAAAGAGACUGGGGCCGAGAGUUUGGCGAGACUAGGAGGCGAGAGCAUGGUUCAGGCAUUUCGUUGAACACCUUGAGGGAAGCAAGUAAAAGGUUAAGGCAGAGAAAGUUGAGGGUGCAUCGGGUAGACUGAUCUAUUGGCUAUUCUGCUUGAAAAGCUUUAUGGUGGAAAGGUUUAUAUGGGGCUUCGAAUUCCAGAUGCUGACAUGGGUUCACGACAGAAUAUCGACAUGGUUCUUGUUAACAAAGGGGAGGCAGUGGUGAUAUCAGUUAAGAAUAUAUUAGGAUUUGCAUCGAUGAAUUCGGAUGGCAGCUGGGUUUGUGAAGGCGGCAGUAAGCACAAACGCAGAACGAUUUCCCGAUCCUAAUCAUCACCACCAACUAGAUCGAGAUUUUCAGCAUAUAAAAUUGAAUGGCGAACUUGGUAUUGUGGCGGCUCCAAUCCUUUUGGAGAGAAACAUGGGGUGCGGGUGCGGGUGUGGCCUCAACUAUGUCAGUCCUUGCUGCUUCAAUGGCCUUCACCUCUAAGUACCUAAGCAGCACUCCUAUUAGGUGAUCUCCAGCCAAUAAGUUCAUGUUCAUGGCGGAGCAACAGCAACUUGUUCAUGACUUCAGAAUUGUUUGCAUGGGAUUGGGCUCUCGUUUGAAUCCAAAGCUUAUUUUGCUAAGGAGUGGACCAGUACAUGCAUUACUCCCUCAGUACAUGAAGAUCAAGCACGUCAAUUAUCACAAAAAAGCAAUGGUGGCAAGAUGCACACAGAUCAUCAGUCCAAACACUGAAGAUGCCAAAUAUGUUAUAAAUUUUUGUUAUCCUGGAAAGUAUGCUGUUGCUCUGGGUGACACAGUUUCCCCAACUGACAUUGAAGAAGGCAUGCGUGUGGGGUGAGUUUCUUAUUUGUUACCUUCUCAGAUUUUACUAAAAUAUUUUGAAGGGUGAGCUACUAGAAAGUACUACUGUUGGAGAUAUGGCUCACAAACCUGCAUACUUUGUGCCUUGUAAGCUCUAAUUUUUAUGUCAACUUGGGGUGAGAAUCAUCUGCUCAGUAUAGUGAAAAAAAACUGAAUAAAGGUGGAUAGCAGCCUAGGUGUUGAUUCGUAGGAAGUCAAUUUGAGGAUUUUGAAAGGACAGUACCAUACUUAAAACUUUUCUAUUUCAAAAUGCUAUUGAUGAAUUGGAUGUCAAUUGUAGGAAGACAUUAAAUAUUGAAAGGACAGUACCAUUCUUUUAUAUAAUAAUUGAACAAACUAUUUUCAGCUUGUA
Long non-coding RNA from Quercus robur (English oak), 1695 nucleotides. RefSeq lists it as uncharacterized. The transcript has 7 exons. The record is from RefSeq and is a predicted model, not a curated record. Lineage: Eukaryota; Viridiplantae; Streptophyta; Magnoliopsida; Fagales; Fagaceae.